RNAcentral lists this ribosomal RNA (255 nucleotides) under uncultured bacterium. RNAcentral's name for it is "partial 16S ribosomal RNA". It matches the Rfam family "Bacterial small subunit ribosomal RNA", at positions 99 to 354 of the family's 1533-position model. The record is from RNAcentral.
CGGACGGGUGAGUAACGCGUGGGUAACCUGCCUUACACAGGGGGAUAACACUUAGAAAUAGGUGCUAAUACCGCAUGAGCGCACAGGACCGCAUGGUCGAGUGUGAAAAACUGAGGUGGUGUAAGAUGGACCCGCGUCUGAUUAGCUAGUUGGUGAGGUAACGGCCCACCAAGGCGACGAUCAGUAGCCGGCCUGAGAGGGUGGACGGCCACAUUGGGACUGAGACACGGCCCAAACUCCUACGGGAGGCAGCAG